Molecule: unclassified non-coding RNA, 323 nt
Filed under: Hevea brasiliensis (rubber tree)
Lineage: Eukaryota; Viridiplantae; Streptophyta; Magnoliopsida; Malpighiales; Euphorbiaceae
Source: RNAcentral
GGCGGCAGCAGCUUCAAUCAGCAGGCAGGCACCUUCCUCCACAGCGGCCGCAGUCACAAUCACAGCAACAAGCUAAACUAUUUAAGGGAGUUGGCAGAGGGAACAUGACGAUGCACCAGAACUUGCAGGUAGAUCCUUCUCUAAUGAAUGAGCUUUCUAGCAAUCAGGCGAAUCAAUCUGCUGAGAAAGGUGAGCAAGCUACUAGCUUGAUGCAAGGUCAUGGACUAUAUUCUGGGUCAGCACACGGUCCUGUCCAGAUUGGAAAACAAGCUAUGGCACCUCAUUCUUCAAGUCAGUUGCAACAGCCCCAGCCUAAGAUUUAC